RNAcentral lists this transfer RNA (72 nucleotides) under Equus caballus (horse). RNAcentral describes it as "tRNA-Glu (CTC) (tRNA-Glu-CTC-6-1)". It matches the Rfam family "tRNA". From Rfam's summary of the family: Transfer RNA (tRNA) molecules are approximately 80 nucleotides in length. Their secondary structure includes four short double-helical elements and three loops (D, anti-codon, and T loops). The record is from Rfam by way of RNAcentral. Lineage: Eukaryota; Metazoa; Chordata; Mammalia; Perissodactyla; Equidae.
GCCCUGGUGGUCUAGUGGUUAAGAUUUGGUACUCUCACUGCUACAGCCCAGGUUCAACUCCUGGUCAGGGAA